GGCCUUGUAGCUCAGUUGGUAGAGCGUACGCUGUGCAAAAGCGUAGGCAGCGUCCAUGUGUGGGUUCGAAUCCCAUGGAGGCUA
This 84-nucleotide transfer RNA is filed under the name Echinostoma caproni. It matches the Rfam family "tRNA". From Rfam's summary of the family: Transfer RNA (tRNA) molecules are approximately 80 nucleotides in length. Their secondary structure includes four short double-helical elements and three loops (D, anti-codon, and T loops). The record is from Rfam by way of RNAcentral. Lineage: Eukaryota; Metazoa; Platyhelminthes; Trematoda; Plagiorchiida; Echinostomatidae.